Cydia splendana is the source of this 567-nucleotide long non-coding RNA. RefSeq lists it as uncharacterized. The transcript is spliced from 3 exons. The record is from RefSeq and is a predicted model, not a curated record. NCBI's taxonomy places the organism in Eukaryota, Metazoa, Arthropoda, Insecta, Lepidoptera, Tortricidae.
GCAGUGAGCCAGGGUACCCGCUAAUACUGGGCUUGCGGCAGAAUGGCAGGUAGCACAAGCACCUGGCUCCGGCAGCAAGCUCGGCCGCUUGGUGCCGUUCCGUCGGCGACGUCGAGCGACGUCGAGCGACGUCGGGUGACGUCGGGCGGAGCGCUGGCCGCGCGGCUGCCCCGCUCAGCGAGCGGCUAGCAGUGGACGCGCUGAGAGAGACCUGCGUUGAUCGCGGUCUUGUAGCGGAGUCACAGAUUGUAGUUUAAACAUUAACAUUAACAUGCUGCGUUUCAGAAAAUCAAACCUUUUAACAUUUUAGUUAAGUCUUUAGUAAUAUAAUAUGUGUAAUUCGUUCACCAGUCUUUCACGAUUGCAUUAUAAAUGAAAUAGGGAUUCACCGCUAUACUUUUCCGUUACUGAUACGAGCAGGAACAAUCUUGCAUAGUAUAAUGCACAAUUUUAGAGAUAAGUUUUUUUGUUAAUCCAUUUUACAUCUCAGUCGGCGCUAGUUAAGUUUCUUUUUUGACCCUUAGUUUUAGUUUUUUCUAAUAAACUGUGUUUUUUCUUACUUUAAAA